This 103-nucleotide microRNA precursor is filed under the name Marmota monax (woodchuck). The record is from RNAcentral. Lineage: Eukaryota; Metazoa; Chordata; Mammalia; Rodentia; Sciuridae.
AGCACCAUGGCUGGGUCAUAUGGUAAGAGCGUGUUCAGUUUUGUAAGAAACCACCAAAUUGUCUUACAAGGAGGCUUGACCAUUAUACAUUCCCAUCAGCAAU